GCUGUGAACUCGAAGAGUAGGGCGGGACACGUGGUAUCCUGUCUGAAUAUGGGGGGACCAUCCUCCAAGGCUAAAUACUCCUGACUGACCGAUAGUGAACCAGUACCGUGAGGGAAAGGCGAAAAGAACCCCGGCGAGGGGAGUGAAAAAGAACCUGAAACCGUGUACGUACAAGCAGUGGGAGCCUCUUUAUGGGGUGACUGCGUACCUUUUGUAUAAUGGGUCAGCGACUUAUAUUCUGUAGCAAGGUUAACCGUAUAGGGGAGCCGAAGGGAAACCGAGUCUUAACUGGGCGUUAAGUUGCAGGGUAUAGACCCGAAACCCGGUGAUCUAGCCAUGGGCAGGUUGAAGGUUGGGUAACACUAACUGGAGGACCGAACCGACUAAUGUUGAAAAAUUAGCGGAUGACCUGUGGCUGGGGGUGAAAGGCCAAUCAAACCGGGAGAUAGCUGGUUCUCCCCGAAAGCUAUUUAGGUAGCGCCUCGUGAACUCAUCUUCGGGGGUAGAGCACUGUUUCGGCUAGGGGGCCAUCCCGGCUUACCAACCCGAUGCAAACUACGAAUACCGAAGAAUGUUAUCACGGGAGACACACGGCGGGUGCUAACGUCCGUCGUGAAGAGGGAAACAACCCAGACCGCCAGCUAAGGUCCCAAAGUCAUGGUUAAGUGGGAAACGAUGUGGGAAGGCACAGACAGCCAGGAUGUUGGCUUAGAAGCAGCCAUCAUUUAAAGAAAGCGUAAUAGCUCACUGGUCGAGUCGGCCUGCGCGGAAGAUGUAACGGGGCUAAACCAUG
RNAcentral lists this ribosomal RNA (793 nucleotides) under Enterobacter hormaechei. RNAcentral's name for it is "partial 23S ribosomal RNA". It matches the Rfam family "Bacterial large subunit ribosomal RNA", at positions 396 to 1191 of the family's 2925-position model. The record is from RNAcentral. Lineage: Bacteria; Pseudomonadati; Pseudomonadota; Gammaproteobacteria; Enterobacterales; Enterobacteriaceae.